UGAAACACAUCUAUACAUAUAAUAAAAUCGUAGAAAAGUGCUGUCUGUACAUUGAAAAUAAAAAUAAAAAAAAUAGCAGGGGUUAUUGUUAUGUCGAUGUCGAACCCAAAAAUGUAAUUAACUUUUUUUUGUCUGUUUGUCUGUUUGUCUGUUUGUCUGUUUGUCUGUUCGUCUGUGCGCGCUAAUCUCAGAAACGGCUGAUCCGAGUUGGAUGCGGUUUUCACGAAUAUAUUGUGGGAUGCUUAAAUUUACAUUUAGUGUUUGUUUCAUGUCAAUCGGUUCAUAAAUAAAAAAGUUAUGUCAAAUUAAAGAAUCACGUCGAACAUUCUAUGCUUAUACCAUUAAUCUCCGCAACUAUUUGACGGAUUUGGUUGAAAUUUGGUACAGAUAUAGUUUAGAACCUUAGAAAGGACAUAGAUAUAUUUUUAUUUCAAAAAUCAAAAAAUAAAAAUAAGAAAUAAAUUAUUUAUAAAUAAUUCUAUGUCGAUCGUUACACGACUUCGGUUCAUGUUAUUGUUUUAAUUUAUCUAAAAAAAGUAAAUAAAUAGUAAAAAGGUAUGAAAAAAAUAAUAUCAAUAUAAUUAAACUUUUAGUACAAAGAAAAU
This is a long non-coding RNA of Spodoptera frugiperda (fall armyworm), 605 nucleotides long. RefSeq lists it as uncharacterized. The record is from RefSeq and is a predicted model, not a curated record. NCBI's taxonomy places the organism in Eukaryota, Metazoa, Arthropoda, Insecta, Lepidoptera, Noctuidae. The transcript has 2 exons.